AGUGAACGCUGGCGGUAGGCCUAACACAUGCAAGUCGAACGGCAGCACAGUAAGAGCUUGCUCUUACUGGUGGCGAGUGGCGGACGGGUGAGGAAUACAUCGGAAUCUACUUUUUCGUGGGGGAUAACGUAGGGAAACUUACGCUAAUACCGCAUACGACCUACGGGUGAAAGCAGGGGAUCUUCUGACCUUGCGCGACUGAAUGAGCCGAUGUCGGAUUAGCUAGUUGGCGGGGUAAAGGCCCACCAAGGCGACGAUCCGUAGCUGGUCUGAGAGGAUGAUCAGCCACACUGGAACUGAGACACGGUCCAGACUCCUACGGGAGGCAGCAGUGGGGAAUAUUGGACAAUGGGCGCAAGCCUGAUCCAGCCAUACCGCGUGGGUGAAGAAGGCCUUCGGGUUGUAAAGCCCUUUUGUUGGGAAAGAAAAGCAGCAGGUUAAUACCCCGCUGUUCUGACGGUACCCAAAGAAUAAGCACCGGCUAACUUCGUG
Molecule: ribosomal RNA, 492 nt
Filed under: uncultured bacterium
Lineage: Bacteria
Description: partial 16S ribosomal RNA
Rfam family: Bacterial small subunit ribosomal RNA
Source: RNAcentral